GGUCAAGUGAAUAAGAGCAUGUGGUGGAUGCCUUGGCGAUGAUAGGCGACGAAAGACGUGAUAGCCUGCGAUAAGCUUCGGGGAGCUGGCAAAUAAGCUUUGAUCCGGAGAUUUCCGAAUGGGGAAACCCACCCUUCGGGGUAUCGCAUACUGAAUACAUAGGUAUGCGAGGCGAACCGGGUGAACUGAAACAUCUCAGUAGCUCGAGGAAAAGACAUCAACCGAGAUUCCGAAAGUAGUGGCGAGCGAAAUCGGAAGAGCCUGUCAGUGAUAGCGCAAGACUUAACAGAACAGCUUGGAAAGGCUGGCCAUAGUGGGUGAUAGCCCCGUAUGUGAAAAGACCUGUGUGGUACUGAGCUGACGAAAAGUAGGGCGGGACACGAGAAAUCCUGUCUGAAGAUGGGGGGACCAUCCUCCAAGGCUAAAUACUCAUCAUCGACCGAUAGUGAACUAGUACCGUGAGGGAAAGGCGAAAAGAAC
RNAcentral lists this ribosomal RNA (480 nucleotides) under Niabella sp. Its description in RNAcentral is "partial 23S ribosomal RNA". It matches the Rfam family "Bacterial large subunit ribosomal RNA", at positions 1 to 524 of the family's 2925-position model. Lineage: Bacteria; Pseudomonadati; Bacteroidota; Chitinophagia; Chitinophagales; Chitinophagaceae. The record is from RNAcentral.